This 27-nucleotide non-coding RNA is filed under the name Rattus norvegicus (Norway rat). The record is from RNAcentral. Lineage: Eukaryota; Metazoa; Chordata; Mammalia; Rodentia; Muridae.
UCUGGGAUUGUUGCGCUAAAUGGCUGA